UGAAUACGAGAUGCUACGGCGUCGAAGCAGUCUAUGUCAUACUUCCAAGAAAAGCUUGCACUAUCAUAAACAAAUAAUGCCUGUACCAUAACCGACACAGGUGGGUAGGUAGAGUAUACUAAGGGGCGCGAGAUAACUCUCUCUAAGGAACUCGGCAAAAUGACUCCGUAACUUCGGGAGAAGGAGUGCCUUAUUUAUAAGGUUGCAAUAACAAGAUCCAAGCAACUGUUUACCAAAAACACAGGUCUCCGCGAAGUCGUAAGACGAUGUAUGGGGGCUGACGCCUGCCCAGUGCCAGAAGGUUAAAGAAGUUGGUUAGCAUUCGCGAAGCUAGUAACUGAAGCCCUGGUGAACGGCGGCCGUAACCAUAACGGUCCUAAGGUAGCGAAAUUCCUUGUCGGGUAAGUUCCGACCCGCACGAAAGGCGUAAUGAUUUGGAUUCUGUCUCAGAGAGGGGCUCGGUGAAAUAGACUUGUCUGUGAAGAUGCGGACUACCUGCACCAGGACAGAAAGACCCUAUGAAGCUUUACUGUAACUUGAAAUUGAAAUUGGACUUUAUUUGCGCAGUAUAGGUGGGAGGCGUUGAAAAUAUUCUUGCGGGAGUAUUCGAGCCAUCAGUGAGAUACCACUCUUGUAAUGUUAGAUUUCUAACUUUGUAUCAUUAUCUGGUCAAAGAACAGUUUCAGGCGGGCAGUUUGACUGGGGCGGUCGCCUCCUAAACGGUAACGGAGGCGCACAAAGGUUUCCUCUGAACGGGUAGAAAUCGUAUCUAGAGUGUAAAGGCAUAAGGAAGCUUGACUGUGAGACCUACAAGUCGAGCAGGGACGAAAGUCGGUCUUAGUGAUCUGACGGUGCUGAGUGGAAAGGCCGUCACUCAACGGAUAAAAGUUACUCUAGGAUAACAGGCUGAUCUCCCCCAAGAGUUCACAUCGACGGGGAGGUUUGGCACCUCGAUGUCGGCUCAUCGCAUCCUGGGGCGGUAGUACGUCCCAAGGGUUGGGCUGUUCGCCCAUGAAAGCGGUACGCGAGCUGGGUUCAGAACGUCGUGAGACAGUUCGGUCCAUAUCCGGUGUAGGCGUUAGAAUAUUGAGAGGAGCCUUCUUUAGUACGAGAGGACCGAGAAGGACAUACCUCUGGUGUACCAGUUAUCGUGCCAACGGUAAACGCUGGGUAGCUAUGUAUGGAGUGGAUAACCGCUGAAAGCAUCUAAGUGGGAAGCCCACCUCAAGAUAAGUA
RNAcentral lists this ribosomal RNA (1236 nucleotides) under metagenome. RNAcentral describes it as "bacterial LSU rRNA". It matches the Rfam family "Bacterial large subunit ribosomal RNA", at positions 1564 to 2810 of the family's 2925-position model. The record is from RNAcentral.